GCAUUCCGGCAAGUCGGUGCUGAUCCUCGGUGGCGCGGGCGGCGUGGGUUCGGUCGCGAUUCAGCUGGCGAAAAAACUGGCGCGCCUCAACGUCAUCGCCACCGCGUCGCGGCCCGAGUCGAUCGCCUGGUGCAAGGGCCUGGGCGCCGACGAGACGGUGGACCACUCGAAGCCCAUCGAGGGGGAAUACGAUUUUGUCCUCUGUUUUUCUUCUUCGGACGCGUAUUGGCCCGCCUUUCCCAGGCUGGUCAAACCCCAGGGCAAGGUCGGCAUGAUCGUGCGCACCGUGAAGCCGGUGGACCUCGCGAUCCUGCACGACAAAA
RNAcentral lists this unclassified non-coding RNA (323 nucleotides) under uncultured fungus. RNAcentral describes it as "sequence contains ITS1". The record is from RNAcentral. Lineage: Eukaryota; Fungi.